UCCUCCAAGUUAAUUCACAGAGGGCUUUUAGU
Molecule: non-coding RNA, 32 nt
Filed under: Rattus norvegicus (Norway rat)
Lineage: Eukaryota; Metazoa; Chordata; Mammalia; Rodentia; Muridae
Source: RNAcentral